GAUGAACGCUGGUGGUAUGCUUAACACAUGCAAGUCGAACGGACUCUUCGGAGUUAGUGGCGGACGGGUGAGUAACGCGUGAGAAUCUGGCUUUGGGUUCGGGACAACCACUGGAAACGGUGGCUAAUAUCGGAUGUGCCGAGAGGUAAAAGAGAAAUUGCCUGAAGAUGAGCGCGCGUCUGAUUAGCUAGUUGGUGAGGUAAAGGCUCACCAAGGCAGCGAUCAGUAGCCGGUCUGAGAGGAUGACCAGCCACACUGGGACUGAGACACGGCCCAGACUCCUACGGGAGGCAGCAGUGGGGAAUUUUCCGCAAUGGGCGAAAGCCUGACGGAGCAAUACCGCGUGAGGGAAGAAGGCUCUUGGGUUGUAAACCUCUUUUCUUAGGGAAGAACAAAAUGACGGUACCUAAGGAAUCAGCAUCGGCUAACUCCGUG
This 435-nucleotide ribosomal RNA is filed under the name uncultured bacterium. Its description in RNAcentral is "partial 16S ribosomal RNA". It matches the Rfam family "Bacterial small subunit ribosomal RNA", at positions 28 to 507 of the family's 1533-position model. The record is from RNAcentral.